This 780-nucleotide ribosomal RNA is filed under the name Benedenia sekii. RNAcentral's name for it is "partial 28S ribosomal RNA". It matches the Rfam family "Eukaryotic large subunit ribosomal RNA", at positions 77 to 637 of the family's 3401-position model. Lineage: Eukaryota; Metazoa; Platyhelminthes; Monogenea; Capsalidea; Capsalidae. The record is from RNAcentral.
CUCUUAGUAACUGCGAGUGAAACGAGAUUAGCCCAACAUCGAAGCCUCUUUGCUCUUGUGAAGAAGGCAAUGUGAUGUUAAGGCAUUUAAAUUCACAGACUGGCUAACUUGAAGUCCAUAUUUGACUGUGGCUUAUGCGUAUGCACCCAGAGAAGGUGAAAGGCCCGUUCAGGUUGGUAUUCCGAUAUGACAGUUCUGUGUAUAUUUAUUUGUCUUGGAGUCGGAUUGCUUGAGAGUGCAGUCCAAAACUGGUGGUAAACUCCAUCUAAGGCUAAAUACCUGUACGAAUCCGAUAGUCGACAAGUACCGUGAGGGAAAGUUGAAAAGUACUCUGAAGAGAGAGUAAAUAGUACGUGAAACUACAUGGAGGUUAAACAGAUAGAGUCAAGCUGCGUGUUAUUGUUCAUUGCAUUGAUUGCUUUUGGGUUUCAUGGCAGACAUGAUGUACUGGUAUAUUCGCCUAUCCACUUGUGGGUAUUUGAAUAAAUAUGUGGUUCAUAGUGCUUCAUGCUUGUCGGCAUUCAUUGUUUAUGACUUUAACUAGUGCCACGGUCGAUUGACUUACCAGCGUGUUUUAACCGACAAUUAUGCGUGUUAUUGCCAUAACGUGUAUAAUGGGUAUGACAGUUGGCUUAAUCAUAUGCUUGCGUGUGGUUAAGUCUAACAGGGCUACGGCCUGUCGAUUAUAACAUUAGCUGUGUAGUUAAUCGGUCAAAUAUGCUCAUUAAAGCCAUGCAAGCUUUCCGACUUUGUUGGUGGUUUGUGUGGUUGAGUUUAUGA